Nicotiana attenuata is the source of this 541-nucleotide long non-coding RNA. RefSeq lists it as uncharacterized. Lineage: Eukaryota; Viridiplantae; Streptophyta; Magnoliopsida; Solanales; Solanaceae. The record is from RefSeq and is a predicted model, not a curated record. The transcript has 2 exons.
ACAUUUUCUUAACAUCUUAAAGUGGAGAAGACUUUGUUUAGGAAAAUAUGGGCAGCAACUUUACGCCUUUCUCGAACUUUUCUUUUGUACCAACGAAAUAUUGAACACUUUUGGCUAGGAGUUCAUUCUUUUAUUUGGGAAAUAUUCAUACUUUGAUCUUGGGAAUAAGCACUUUGGUAUAAGGAAGAGUUCGCAGCAACGUUCUCACUUUGAGGAUAAUUCUUUAUUCAAGUUUGAUUCUUCAUCCACGACUUUCGAGCUCGUAUGAGCAAUUAAGAUUAAACUUCUCUGGGUGGCAUAAAGAAGUCCAAUUCAACAAGGUGUGAUGGAUCUUGACUUGGCUCUGCUGAAUGAUAAGCUCGCUGCCAUUACUGAUUCGAGUAGUGCGGAUGAGAAGUCUUUCCGUAAAGCAUGGGAAUGCUUUAACAAGCAACUGCCAAUAACAUUAAGAGUACUAUUCCACAAACAGAAAGUGUCAGGGGAUACUUGAUGGUUGUGAAAGAACGUUUUCAUUCUGGAAAUAGACUCUCGCUGGUACAUA